CCUACGGAGGCAGCAGUGAGGAAUAUUGGUCAAUGGGCUUACGCCUGAACCAGCCAAGUCGCGUGAGGGAAGACUGCCCUAUUGGUUGUAAACCUCUUUUGUCAGGGAGCAAUUGUCGCUACGUGUAGCGUUAUCGCGAGUACCUGAAGAAAAAGCAUCGGCUAACUCCGUGCCAGCAGCCGCGGUAAUACGGAGGAUGCGAGCGUUAUCCGGAUUUAUUGGGUUUAAAGGGUGCGUAGGCGGAAUGCCAAGUCAGCGGUAAAAUCGCGGGGCUCAACCUCGCUCCGCCGUUGAAACUGGCGUUCUGGAGUGGGCGAGAAGUAUGCGGAAUGCGUGGUGGAGCGGUGAAAUGCAUAGAUAUCACGCAGAACUCCGAUUGCGAAGGCAGCAUACCGGCGCCCAACUGACGCUGAAGCACGAAAGCGUGGGUAUCGAACAGGAUUAGAUACCCCUGUAGUC
This 459-nucleotide ribosomal RNA is filed under the name uncultured bacterium. Its description in RNAcentral is "partial 16S ribosomal RNA". It matches the Rfam family "Bacterial small subunit ribosomal RNA", at positions 338 to 795 of the family's 1533-position model. The record is from RNAcentral.